CAGGGGGUAUUUUAUGUAAAAUAUUAGUUUUGGGGAUUAAUGAAAUGGUUUGACCUUUCCUCUGA
RNAcentral lists this transfer RNA (65 nucleotides) under Anenteotermes sp. A JRA-2021a. RNAcentral's name for it is "tRNA-Pro". Lineage: Eukaryota; Metazoa; Arthropoda; Insecta; Blattodea; Termitidae. The record is from RNAcentral.